GAAUAGUAAAGUGACUACUUUUCC
RNAcentral lists this non-coding RNA (24 nucleotides) under Arabidopsis thaliana (thale cress). Lineage: Eukaryota; Viridiplantae; Streptophyta; Magnoliopsida; Brassicales; Brassicaceae. The record is from RNAcentral.